Molecule: ribosomal RNA, 167 nt
Filed under: Trechispora sp.
Lineage: Eukaryota; Fungi; Basidiomycota; Agaricomycetes; Trechisporales; Hydnodontaceae
Description: partial large subunit ribosomal RNA
Rfam family: Eukaryotic large subunit ribosomal RNA
Source: RNAcentral
CGGGAAAAGCUCAAAUUUGAAAUCUGGCGGUUCUGCCGUCCGAGUUGUAUUCUGGAGAAGCGUCUUCCGUGCCGGACCGUGUACAAGUCCCUUGGAACAGGGCGUCGUAGAGGGUGAGAAUCCCGUCUUUGACAUGGACCACCGGUGCUAUGCGAUGCGCUCUCGAA